Molecule: ribosomal RNA, 484 nt
Filed under: uncultured bacterium
Lineage: Bacteria
Description: partial 16S ribosomal RNA
Rfam family: Bacterial small subunit ribosomal RNA
Source: RNAcentral
AUUGAACGCUGGCGGCAGGCCUAACACAUGCAAGUCGAGCGGAUGAAGGGAGCUUGCUCCUGGAUUCAGCGGCGGACGGGUGAGUAAUGCCUAGGAAUCUGCCUGGUAGUGGGGGAUAACGUCCGGAAACGGGCGCUAAUACCGCAUACGUCCUGAGGGAGAAAGUGGGGGAUCUUCGGACCUCACGCUAUCAGAUGAGCCUAGGUCGGAUUAGCUAGUUGGUGGGGUAAAGGCCUACCAAGGCGACGAUCCGUAACUGGUCUGAGAGGAUGAUCAGUCACACUGGAACUGAGACACGGUCCAGACUCCUACGGGAGGCAGCAGUGAGGAAUAUUGGACAAUUGGCGAAAGCCUAAUCCAGCCAUGCCGCGUGUGUGAAGAAGGUCUUCGGAUUGUAAAGCACUUUAAGUUGGGAGGAAGGGCAGUAAGUUAAUACCUUGCUGUUUUGACGUUACCAACAGAAUAAGCACCGGCUAACUUCGUG